This 579-nucleotide ribosomal RNA is filed under the name Triticum aestivum (bread wheat). RNAcentral describes it as "partial small subunit ribosomal RNA". Lineage: Eukaryota; Viridiplantae; Streptophyta; Magnoliopsida; Poales; Poaceae. The record is from RNAcentral.
AUGCCGACGGCGACAUCGGAGGAUAACAGCACGGCCAGGUCGACCAUCAUCUCGGUGGUGGUGUGCAUCAUGUUCCUGCUGCUCUUCUUCGGCGGGUACAUGAACAGGCACUGCCGCCACGACCACGGCGGCGCAGCGACCGGCCGACCAGCCCCGGAGGGAGGCAGGGCGUCCUCAGGGAGGGGCAAGCGCGGGUUGGACCAAUCGGUGCUGGCGACGUUCCCAAUCAUGCCGUGGAGGGACCUCCACAGGAAGAAGAGGGCGAUGGUGGAGGCGGGGGACGAGCGCUGCCCUGUGUGCCUGACCGCGUUCGUGGAAGGCGACAGUCUCCGGCUGCUGCCGCACUGCUCGCACGUGUUCCACCCGGUGUGCAUCGAUCCCUGGCUCCAUCAGCGGGCAACCUGCCCGCUGUGCCGGGCCAACCUCGAGAGGCCGCUGCCGGCUGACGCCGUGGCAAUCGCGAUAUCAGCAGAGGGAAGCGACGACGACAUGCACGAUGGGAAGGAGGAGGAGGCCAUGGAGCUUGAGAUGCUGCGCGCUGAGCGACGGGCGGCAAGGCUACUAGCGGCGGGAACCUGA